UUUUAUAUAAAUUUAUAAAAAUUUUUAGGUUUAUUUUGGCUUAUUGUAAAAUUAUUUUAGUUGAGUAAAUUUAAUCAAGGAUUUUUAAGUAUUAGGUUUAUAAUUUAAUAAUUAAAUAAAGUAAAUUUUUAAUAUAUGUAUUAUAUAUAUAUAUUAUUUAUAUUAAUAUUAAAUAUUUAUAUGAUAAUAGAUAUAUAAAUAAAUAUUGAAUCUAUAUUAAUAUAUAUUAAUUAUAUAUUAUAGAGAACUAUUAAUAUAUGCAUUUAUAUAAACUAAAAAGAAAUAAAUAAUAUAUGUAUUAUCUAUAUUAAUAUUAAACAUUUAUAUAAUAUAGAUUAUAUAUAUAAAUAAAUAUUGAAUCUAUAUUAAUAUAUAUUAAUUAUAUAUUAUAGAGAACUAUUAAUAUAUGCAUUUAUAUAAACUAAAAAGAAAUAAAUAAUAUAUGUAUUAUCUAUAUUAAUAUUAAACAUUUAUAUAAUAUAGAUUAUAUAUAUAAAUAAAUAUUGAAUCUAUAUUAAUAUAUAUUAAUUAUAUAUUAUAGAGAACUAUUAAUAUAUGCAUUUAUAUAAACUAAAAAGAAAUAAAUAAUAUAUGUAUUAUCUAUAUUAAUAUUAAACAUUUAUAUAAUAAUAUGUGUAUUUAUAAUAAAUUAAAUAACUUUAUAUAAAUAUUUAAUACUAAAAAAAAAAAAAAAAAAUAUUUAUAAUUAUUAGCUGAUUUAAAUUAGUUAUUUAGUUAAUUUUUAUAACAGUGUUUAAUUUUUUAAAAUAAUUUUAAAAAUUGUGUAAAAAUUGAUUUAAGGGGAUCAGUUGAAUGGGAGGAUUUGAUUAUAAUUAAUUAUCUAUUAAAUAAUUAAUUUAAUUAUCUAUUUAAUUAAAUUUAUUUAUUUAUGCUAAUUAUAUUUAAUAGUUUUUUAGUAAAUUUUAAUUUUUACGUUUUAUAUAAAAGUUUUAUUUUGGCUUAUUAAUUUAUUAUAAGUUUGUUUAUAUAUGUAAAUUUUUGUGAGAAUUUAUUUUGUUCUAAAAGAAUAUUUUAUUAUUUCUAUUCGCAGUAUAUGAUAUUAAUUAUUAGGUAACUCUAGAAUUGGUAAUGUUGUUAAGUAUUGGCUAAAUUUGUGCCAGCCGCUGCGGUUAUACAAAGAAUACUAGUAAAUUAUAUUGGAUACGAGUUAGGUAAUAAUUUAUUUAAUAAAUAGUAAUUUUUUAGGUGAAAUUUUAAUUUACUUUAAUUAAUAAAUUAAGAAUUAUUGAAACUCAAAAAUUUUUGUUAUAAACUAGGAUUAGAUACCCUAUUAUAAAAAUUGUAUAAUUGAUAGACCAGAGUAGUAUUAGUUAGGGUCUUGAAACUCAAAAAAUUUGGCGGUAUUUUAGUCUAUUUAGAGGAACCUGUAGUAUAAUCGAUAAUCCACGAUGGACCUCACUUAAUUUUGUUUUUCAGUUUGUAUACCGCUGUUAUUUGAAGAUUUUAUAAGAAUAUUAAUUUUCAAGAUUUUUGAUUAAAGAAUAUAUCAGGUCAAGGUGCAGCUUAUGAUUAAGUAUUUAUGGGUUACAAUAAAAUUAUUUAAACGAAUAAAAAUAUGAAAUUAUUUUUUGAAGGUGGAUUUAAUAGUAAAUUUUUAAAGAUAAAAGAAUUGAUUUUAGCUCUAAAAUAUGCACACAUCGCCCGUCGCUCUUGUUAUUAAUAUAAGAUAAGUCGUAACAUAGUAGAUGUACUGGAAAGUGUAUCUAGAAUGAC
This 1734-nucleotide non-coding RNA is filed under the name Dolichopus simplex. Lineage: Eukaryota; Metazoa; Arthropoda; Insecta; Diptera; Dolichopodidae. The record is from RNAcentral.